This 253-nucleotide ribosomal RNA is filed under the name uncultured bacterium. RNAcentral's name for it is "partial 16S ribosomal RNA". It matches the Rfam family "Bacterial small subunit ribosomal RNA", at positions 524 to 776 of the family's 1533-position model. The record is from RNAcentral.
UACGGAAGGGGCAAGCGUUGUUCGGAAUCAUUGGGCGUAAAGCGCGCGUAGGUGGCUUCGUAAGUCCGUUGUGAAAGUCAAAGGCUCAACCUUUGAAAGCCGAUGGAUACUGCGGAGCUAGAGUACGGAAGAGGCGAGUGGAAUUCCUGGUGUAGCGGUGGAAUGCGCAGAUAUCAGGAGGAACACCAAUAGCGAAGGCAGCUCGCUGGGACGUUACUGACACUGAGGCGCGAAAGCGUGGGGAGCAAACAGG